UCCACAUAAGCACGCCGGUCGGAGCAUUUUAAUGACGUGGCAUACAGCAUGGCCAAAACUGUGUCGUUUGGCUCAAUAAUUGAAACACAAAAUUUUCAAUCCCUAAAUCAGAAAUUGAACAGAACUCACGCACUCAACUCUCGCUGAACUCUCAAGUGAACUCACGGCCGAGCAGGGUCGUGGCUCACGACAGCGCGGCGAACCAGGUUCGUGGGGGUAAGGCUCGCGACGCGCAUAUGAGAAGAAGGACAAAAAGGUGUACAUAAUUCCGGUGGUGAUUGGUUUUGUGUGCAUAUGCAUCAUGAUCUUCGUCGCUUCGUAUUGUAUGGUAAAGAGAAAAGGAAGCGAAACAGAACAGAAAAGGGUCUUCCAAGCAGAGCAAACAUUUCCAUCAGACUCAACUGCAAUCAUACUCAAUCAAGAAUCAGAGGUAGAUAGUAAUGAGGAGUUGCCCGUGGAAUGGCCUGAUUCUGAUACUACCCCCGCCCCCUCGUUGCGAGCCUCUGCGUCGCGAGCCCGACCCUUGAACCCUCCGCAGUCGCGAGCCCCACGAACCCUGGUCCGCCGCGCCGUCGGCAGCCGAACUGCCACGAACCCUCCGCCUUUGCGAUCAAAAUCGGCACCCUAGUCCGCCGCACCGUCGUCAGUUCAGUGAGCGUGCGUGAGUUCACUGAGCGCCGUUGUGAGUUCAGCGAGAGUUGAGUCAUUAAAAUUUUGUGUUUCAGUUAUUGAGCCAAACGACACAGUUUUGGCCAUGCUGUAUGCCACGUCAUUAAUGCCGGCUUGCUUAUGUGGAUUUCUGGCUACCAACUCAUCUUCACGGUAUGCAGAUUUAGUGGUCAUGUGCAAAAUCAUAAAAUAGAUAAAGGUGAUGUAUUCUGAGGCAGGAUUUUAAAGAUGAUGGCAAUAUCAGAAUUUAGUGAAAGUUUAUGUAUUUAGGGGUAAUUACCCCUUUAAAAUAUAAA
Salvia miltiorrhiza (redroot sage) is the source of this 965-nucleotide long non-coding RNA. RefSeq lists it as uncharacterized. The transcript has 3 exons. Lineage: Eukaryota; Viridiplantae; Streptophyta; Magnoliopsida; Lamiales; Lamiaceae. The record is from RefSeq and is a predicted model, not a curated record.